This 372-nucleotide ribosomal RNA is filed under the name uncultured bacterium. Its description in RNAcentral is "bacterial SSU rRNA". It matches the Rfam family "Bacterial small subunit ribosomal RNA", at positions 523 to 898 of the family's 1533-position model. The record is from RNAcentral.
AUACGUAGGGGGCGAGCGUUGUCCGGAUUUACUGGGCGUAAAGGGUGAGUAGGCGGUCAUGUAAGUCAGAUGUAAAAGGCGUAGGCUCAACUUACGUAAGCAUUUGAAACUGUGUGACUUGAGUGCAGGAGAGGUAAGCGGAAUUCCUAGUGUAGCGGUGAAAUGCGUAGAUAUUAGGAGGAACACCAGUGGCGAAGGCGGCUUACUGGACUGUAACUGACGCUGAGUCACGAAAGCGUGGGUAGCAAACAGGAUUAGAUACCCUGGUAGUCCACGCUGUAAACGAUGAGUGCUAGGUGUUGGGUAGCGAUACUCAGUGCCGAAGUAAACACAAUAAGCACUCCGCCUGGGGAGUACGGUCGCAAGACUGAA